AUUGAACGCUGGCGGCAUGCCUUACACAUGCAAGUCGAACGGUAACAGGUCUUCGGAUGCUGACGAGUGGCGAACGGGUGCGUAAUACAUCGGAACGUGCCCAGACGUGGGGGAUAACGAGGCGAAAGCUUUGCUAAUACCGCAUACGAUCUAAGGAUGAAAGCAGGGGACCGCAAGGCCUUGUGCGUUUGGAGCGGCCGAUGGCAGAUUAGGUAGUUGGUGGGAUAAAAGCUUACCAAGCCGACGAUCUGUAGCUGGUCUGAGAGGACGACCAGCCACACUGGAACUGAGACACGGCCCAGACUCCUACGGGAGGCAGCAGUGGGGAAUUUUGGACAAUGGGCGAAAGCCUGAUCCAGCAAUGCCGCGUGCAGGAUGAAGGCCUUCGGGUUGUAAACUGCUUUUGUACGGAACGAAAAGGCUCUGGCUAAUACCUGGGGCACAUGACGGUACCGUAAGAAUAAGCACCGGCUAACUACGUG
Molecule: ribosomal RNA, 482 nt
Filed under: uncultured bacterium
Lineage: Bacteria
Description: partial 16S ribosomal RNA
Rfam family: Bacterial small subunit ribosomal RNA
Source: RNAcentral